AUUGAACGCUGGCGGCAUGCUUUACACAUGCAAGUCGAACGGCAGCGCGGGCUUCGGCCUGGCGGCGAGUGGCGAACGGGUGAGUAAUGCAUCGGAACGUGCCCAGUAGUGGGGGAUAGCCCGGCGAAAGCCGGAUUAAUACCGCAUACGACCUGAGGGUGAAAGCGGGGGACCGAAAGGCCUCGCGCUAUUGGAGCGGCCGAUGUCGGAUUAGCUAGUUGGUGGGGUAAAGGCUUACCAAGGCGACGAUCCGUAGCUGGUCUGAGAGGACGACCAGCCACACUGGGACUGAAACACGGCCCAGACUCCUACGGGAGGCAGCAGUGGGGAAUUUUGGACAAUGGGGGCAACCCUGAUCCAGCCAUGCCGCGUGCGGGAAGAAGGCCUUCGGGUUGUAAACCGCUUUUGUUCGGGAAGAAAUCCUCUGGGCUAAUACCCCGGGGGGAUGACGUUACCGGAAGAAUAAGCACCGGCUAACUACGUG
This 484-nucleotide ribosomal RNA is filed under the name uncultured bacterium. RNAcentral describes it as "partial 16S ribosomal RNA". It matches the Rfam family "Bacterial small subunit ribosomal RNA", at positions 29 to 507 of the family's 1533-position model. The record is from RNAcentral.